This 905-nucleotide ribosomal RNA is filed under the name uncultured Bacillota bacterium. Its description in RNAcentral is "bacterial SSU rRNA". It matches the Rfam family "Bacterial small subunit ribosomal RNA", at positions 13 to 895 of the family's 1533-position model. Lineage: Bacteria; Bacillati; Bacillota. The record is from RNAcentral.
UUUAUCCUGGCUCAGGACGAACGCUGGCGGCGUGCUUAACACAUGCAAGUCGAACGGGGUGUUUAUUUCGGUAAACACCAAGUGGCGAACGGGUGAGUAACGCGUAAGCAAUCUACCUUCAAGAUGGGGACAACACUUCGAAGGGGGUGCUAAUACCGAAUGAAUGUAAGAGUAUCGCAUGAGACACUUACUAAAGGAGGCCUCUGAGAAUGCUUCCGCUUGAAGAUGAGCUUGCGUCUGAUUAGCUAGUUGGUGAGGGUAAAGGCCCACCAAGGCGACGAUCAGUAGCCGGUCUGAGAGGAUGAACGGCCACAUUGGGACUGAGACACGGCCCAGACUCCUACGGGAGGCAGCAGUGGGGAAUCUUCCGCAAUGGGCGAAAGCCUGACGGAGCAACGCCGCGUGAACGAUGAAGGUCUUAGGAUCGUAAAGUUCUGUUGUUAGGAACGAAGGAUAAGGGUUAUAAUACAGUCUUUGUUUGACGGUACCUAACGAGGAAGCCACGGCUAACUACGUGCCAGCAGCCGCGGUAAUACGUAGGCGGCAAGCGUUGUCCGGAAUUAUUGGGCGUAAAGGGAGCGCAGGCGGGAAACUAAGCGGAUCUUAAAAGUGCGGGGCUCAACCCCGUGAUGGGGUCCGAACUGGUUUUCUUGAGUGCAGGAGAGGAAAGCGGAAUUCCCAGUGUAGCGGUGAAAUGCGUAGAUAUUGGGAAGAACACCAGUGGCGAAGGCGGCUUUCUGGACUGUAACUGACGCUGAGGCUCGAAAGCUAGGGUAGCGAACGGGAUUAGAUACCCCGGUAGUCCUAGCCGUAAACGAUGGAUACUAGGUGUGGGAGGUAUCGACUCCUUCCGUGCCGGAGUUAACGCAAUAAGUAUCCCGCCUGGGGAGUACGGCCGCAAGGUU